UGGUGGAGCGAUUUGUCUGGUUAAUUCCGAUAACGAACGAGCCUGCUAAAUAGACGGGCCAUCCCGUUGUGGGUCGACCCGAUUUGCUUCUUAGAGGGACAAGUGGCGUUCCUAGCCACGCGAAAUUGAGCAAUAACA
RNAcentral lists this ribosomal RNA (138 nucleotides) under uncultured eukaryote. Its description in RNAcentral is "partial 18S ribosomal RNA". It matches the Rfam family "Eukaryotic small subunit ribosomal RNA", at positions 1299 to 1458 of the family's 1831-position model. The record is from RNAcentral.